Long non-coding RNA from Lathyrus oleraceus (garden pea), 806 nucleotides. RefSeq lists it as uncharacterized. NCBI's taxonomy places the organism in Eukaryota, Viridiplantae, Streptophyta, Magnoliopsida, Fabales, Fabaceae. The record is from RefSeq and is a predicted model, not a curated record. The transcript is spliced from 3 exons.
GCCAGCGACGACGGAGCUCUCAAUCACCUUGCACUCACCUCGCUAUUACCGUCUCAAACUCUCAAUUCCCAAUUUUAUACAAGCUCACACGAAUCGAAUCAAAACCUCUCACGAAUAUUAAGGAAAAGAUUAGAUCUCCAUACAGAGGAGGUUACGAUAUCAGAACCGAUAUGAUAGAAACAAGCUUGAUCGAAGGAUUCUUACCUACCUUCUAAGGCAACGAUGCAUAGAUGAAGGAGAUGAUGAGCGUGAACUCGAGCAUGAAGCUUCUUCUGAAUCUCUUUGUUCUCCUCUUCCUACUUUUGGCUCUACUGUUAUGUUUUCGUUGCUUCCAUUGAAUUCUCCGUCGGGUUUUCAAGUUAGUUGGAAGCGCUGCACUUCAAUGCAGACUACAUCGAGAGAUUUAGUUAUGUCGUGAUUGUUGCGGAACGAUUGGGGCGGUGCGAUGAUUCGUUCGUGGAUUGAAUCACGGUGGAAACGGUGGUUGGUUGAAGGUCUUGAUUGUGGAGGUUUAGCAGGUUGAAGAAGAAGGAGGCGGAAGAGUUCGUUAUUCGCAGCAGUUUGGGAGGAGAGUUGUUACGGUUGUGGUGGUUCUCAGAGAAGGAGAAGCAGGAGAUUCUUGAGAGAAAAAAAACUCCUUUCAAUCGAUGUGAACCACUUUUCGUUUGGAUGGUGUAAAGCUUAAGUUGCAGCUCGCAUACAAACAAUGCGGUCGUUUUCGUUGGCUCGGCGUAUCAGCUCGUUUGCGUGAGUUUACCGUUGUGGCUUCAUUUUGGAUUGUUGUACUAGCUUACUGCAGUUGCGUU